This 30-nucleotide non-coding RNA is filed under the name Homo sapiens (human). Lineage: Eukaryota; Metazoa; Chordata; Mammalia; Primates; Hominidae. The record is from RNAcentral.
UCCUUGAUGUCAUGGUGGUGGUGUAUCAGG